UCUCUCGCUCACAGAUUUGCAAAGGAGAUUCAGUCAGGCUGAGUAGAGUUGCAGAGUUAUUCUGACGAGUCGUCGCUCGGGUGGAAGACCGAGUCAAAGAGGAGUCGGACCUCAUUUGGGUCGGCAGCAAAGACAAAGCACGGCGAGGUCGAGAGGAAGAAAGGAACUCCGUGGACCGAAGAAGAACACAGAACUACCCUAAAUUAGAUGAUGACGAAUAUGCUGUUUGGCUUUGGGCCACCUUUGUGAUGUAUCCUAAACUUCUAUACAUGGUUGUUUCCCUCAAUUGUACCUCUAGUUGCUUCAAACCGCAUUAGGAAGGAGAUCAUCAAGAUUGAGCAUGGAAACAAUGAAAUCACAUUCUAUGGCAACUCUGUUAUAGCUGGUAUUCCACCUUAUUGACUUGUAGCAUUUGUGCAGUUAAAUGCUUGUUCAUAUAUUGUAAUUUUGGACUUGUACCGCUGACAGAUAUGCUUUAACAGUUUUACCUUGAUGAACAAGACCCACCGGAGAAAUUGUUACAUCUGCUGAUGAUAAAAAUAGAGUUGUUCUUAUAACCCAAUUUGAUCUUGACAAGAUCAAAUCCAAGAGACAUCGUUGGGGAGUAUUUCGUGAUCGGCGUCCAGAUUUAUACAAGGUGCGAGACGUGACAAAGAACUUGGUUGACUCUCAAAAUUGGGCUAAAGGUGUUAGAGAUUGUCUUUCUGAAGUGGAAAAAUAGUCAUAUCAUCGCAGCUGUGAUACAGAAAAGUGCUGUGGGAGCAUGUUGACAAUUUACUUGGCUUUAAUCUAGUGCCUUGUAAUGAGCCUGCACUUCUUAAAUUAAAGGAUUACGAAAAUGAAGCUAGAGCUUUGAGCCAGGAAAUUAAUUCCAUCCUUUCAACGUGCUCAAAAGUUUCUAUUGCUGAUUGGGAAAUGUUAUACACCAGAGUUUGUGACUUGCCAAUAUAUAUCAAUGAAAGUGAGAAGUUAGGACAGAGAUCCAUUCCUAUAUCCUGAUAAAGUAUGUUGUUCAAAGAACUUGCCUUCAUUCCAAGAGCUUGUUAUUUUUCUCAUCUUAUUACAUAACAUCAAAAUGGAACAAAAUUUGGGACAGACUCCAACCUUGGAUAAUUACUCAGUGGUAUAUUUCUUGUACAUUUUCUAAAGUUCUUGAUAAAUUAUGUUUGAUAUUUCAUAUAUUUUUUUCUUACAUUUUCUUUAAUGUUUUGGCCUUAAAAAGUGCAGCUAUUCAAGCGGUUUUGAGCAGUGAAAAAGAGACGAUAGCCUCUUCAGCUGGCAGUGGGGGAGUUUUAAGCAAAAAAUUAAAUGAAGUGGUUUUAGCCUAUAGUGGUGGUUUAGAUACCUCAGUCACUGUCCCAUGGCUAAGGUAGGCCUAAAAUUUUUGUCAAGGCUUGUUUACUCUUGUGUUGUGUCUGAAAAUACAUCUUUAUUUGCAAGCACGUACAUGUUGCAGACAUCCUAUUUUCCAAAGAACAACUAUAAUUCUAAGUAGUGUGGUAUAUUUAGUCUUAAACUGGUGUUGAUUUCAAUUUGUUGAAUGGGACAAAAAAGCACAUGUCAUGUUCUGGUGUGACAUUUCAGUUUAAUGUCGAGUUUAGGCUGUAACUUUAUGGAGAGAGUGACGGCUGCAUAUUAUUCAGUUCCAUGGUACAAAGAGCAUUUUUUUUCCAGUUCAUGUUCAUGCCUGUGAUAUGUUCUAUAAUUUUGCUUUUACUUAGUCAUAGUGCUUCUUGUAUUCUAGAGCAUUGACUACAUAUCCUUUUAAAUAAUUAUAUUCUCUAUUUGUGUAAUCUUGUAUCAUUUUGCAUAUUGCAAGGAGAUUUAUGGCAACAGUAGGUCGCAUCAAUCUUUAUUGCUUUUACAUUUCUUGUUGCUAGGUUUGAUAUGUCAUCUCUGUCAAAAGUUUGUGUCUUAGGAUAUGGAGGUCGUUAGAGUUGCAAUAUAAAUAGAAGGAAAAUGUGUCUGCCUUCAUUUAUCAAUUUAAGUGUUCUAAAUGAUAUUUUUUGCCCAAAUGGAUUGAUAGGUAUGAUUUGCCCUUUUCUAUUCAUCUUUCGAAUGUGAUUUAUAGGCUGUGUUGGAUUUUUCUUUUUGUGGCUUCUGGAUUUCUUUUACUUUGCAGCAGUUAUAUGGGGAAAUUUACUAUGAGGCUGUUAUAUGGGGAAACCUAUGCAAACCUAAACCUCAUACAUAGAUAUCCUUUAACAUAAUUAUGCAAGUCCCAAGUAGGUGUUGCAUUAAAGUAGAUUAAUUCCACCUUUUCCUCUUUUAAAAUUUAAUUUUUCUCUUGAGCUUCUUAUGGCCUGGAUUUAGUAGAAAACUAUAUUUUCCUGUACAAACUUAAUGGUUUGUUUGAAGAUUCCUACUCAUUUCUCUCUAGAAAUAUUGCAACAAAAGAGGUAACUUCAUUAGAGGUAACUUCAUUUGAGGUAUGAAAAAAAAAAGGUUUUGUUUUAUGUGGAUUUUAUUUUCAUAUGCGUUGAGACUAUUGAGAUCUUGAAUUUUUGCUAAUUUUUCAUUAUGACAUUGCUUUUAUAGGGCCAUUGAAUUAUUUUAUUAAUUUUGGAAAUGUUUUGUUGAUGUUUUAAAAUUUCUUGAUCAUUUCUUAAUACCUCAAGAAAUAUUUUUGUCCCUAAGUUGUUGGUUUUUGUACUUAUGUGAAGUUUCUUUUGUCAUGCAGACAAGAAAUGCAACCAGGUUAGUUACUCUAGCUAUUGCCGCGGGUUUAGGUGCCUUAACACAUACAUUGGGCACCCUCGUCCCUGUGAUAGUAGCAAGUGGAUUUGCUACAGUUACAGCAGUAAUUGUUAUAGGAACUGUUGUCAGUAGUUUUAUAUAAUCUCUUAAUAGUUGUCGAUAUGUUUAGAAAGUUAGAUAUGCAUAGUUUUGGAUGGUUUAAACUUUUUUUACAGUUUAGAACUUAAAGAUAUAGUUUUCGAAUGUUUGGAAUGUAUAAACAA
Molecule: non-coding RNA, 2960 nt
Organism: Camellia sinensis
Lineage: Eukaryota; Viridiplantae; Streptophyta; Magnoliopsida; Ericales; Theaceae
Source: RefSeq, a predicted model, not a curated record